RNAcentral lists this ribosomal RNA (504 nucleotides) under uncultured bacterium. RNAcentral's name for it is "partial 16S ribosomal RNA". It matches the Rfam family "Bacterial small subunit ribosomal RNA", at positions 28 to 523 of the family's 1533-position model. The record is from RNAcentral.
GAUGAACGCUAGCGGCAGGCUUAAUACAUGCAAGUCGAGGGGCAGCAUGAUUGUAGCAAUACAAUUGAUGGCGACCGGCAAACGGGUGCGGAACACGUACACAACCCUCCAAUAAGUGGGGAAUAGCCCAGAGAAAUUUGGAUUAAUACCCCGUAACAUAACGAUGUGGCAUCACAUUGUUAUUAUAGAUUUUUCGCUUAUUGAUGGGUGUGCGGCUGACUAGAUAGUUGGCGUGGUAACGGCCCACCAAGUCUACGAUCAGUAGCUGAUGUGAGAGCAUGAUCAGCCACACAGGCACUGAGACACGGGCCCGACUCCUAGGGGAGGCAGAAGUAAGGAAUAUUGGACAAUGGACGCAAGUCUGAUCCAGCCAUGCCGCGUGAAGGAUUAAGGUCCUCUGGAUUGUAAACUUCUUUUAUAAGGGACGAAAAAAGGCUUUUCUAAGUCGUCUGACGGUACCUUAUGAAUAAGCACCGGCUAACUCCGUGCCAGCCGCCGCAGUAA